Molecule: non-coding RNA, 74 nt
Organism: Podarcis lilfordi (Lilford's wall lizard)
Lineage: Eukaryota; Metazoa; Chordata; Lepidosauria; Squamata; Lacertidae
Source: the annotation of a GenBank genome assembly
GCCUGGAUAGCUCAGUUGGUUAGAGCAUGGUGCUGACAUCACCGAGGUUGCAGGUUUGAUCCCCAUAUGGGACA